CCUACGGGAGGCUGCAGUGAGGAAUAUUGGUCAAUGGGCGGAAGCCUGAACCAGCCAAGUCGCGUGAGGGAAUAAGGCCCUACGGGUCGUAAACCUCUUUUGCCGGGGAGCAAGGGCGGGGACGUGUCCCGGCCCGGAGAGUACCCGGAGAAAAAGCAUCGGCUAACUCCGUGCCAGCCGCCGCGGUCAUACGGGGGAGACGAGCGUUAUCCGGAUUUAUUUGGUUUGAAGGGUGCGUAGGCUGGCUUUUAAGUCAGCGGUAAAAAUUCGGGGCUCAAACACUGCCUGACGAUGAAACUGGGGGCCUUGAGUGGGCGAGAAGAAGGCGGAAUGCGUGGGGUAGCGGUGAAAUGCAUAGAGAUCACGCAGAACCCCGAUUGCGAAGGCAGCCUUCCGGCGCCCUACUGACGCUGAGGCACGAAAGUGCGGGGAUCGAACAGGAUUAGAUACCCGAGUAGUC
RNAcentral lists this ribosomal RNA (460 nucleotides) under uncultured bacterium. Its description in RNAcentral is "partial 16S ribosomal RNA". It matches the Rfam family "Bacterial small subunit ribosomal RNA", at positions 338 to 795 of the family's 1533-position model. The record is from RNAcentral.